Molecule: ribosomal RNA, 493 nt
Filed under: uncultured bacterium
Lineage: Bacteria
Description: partial 16S ribosomal RNA
Rfam family: Bacterial small subunit ribosomal RNA
Source: RNAcentral
AACGCUGGCGGCGUGCCUAAUACAUGCAAGUCGAGCGAACAGACGAGGAGCUUGCUCCUCUGACGUUAGCGGCGGACGGGUGAGUAACACGUGGAUAACCUACCUAUAAGACUGGGAUAACUUCGGGAAACCGAAGCUAAUACCGGAUAAUAUAUUGAACCGCAUGGUUCAAUAGUGAAAGACGGUUUUGCUGUCACUUAUAGAUGGAUCCGCGCCGCAUUAGCUAGUUGGUAAGGUAACGGCUUACCAAGGCGACGAUGCGUAGCCGACCUGAGAGGGUGAUCGGCCACACUGGAACUGAGACACGGUCCAGACUCCUACGGGAGGCAGCAGUAGGGAAUCUUCCGCAAUGGGCGAAAGCCUGACGGAGCAACGCCGCGUGAGUGAUGAAGGUCUUCGGAUCGUAAAACUCUGUUAUUAGGGAAGAACAAAUGUGUAAGUAACUAUGCACGUCUUGACGGUACCUAAUCAGAAAGCCACGGCUAACUACGUG